This 354-nucleotide unclassified non-coding RNA is filed under the name fungal sp. Its description in RNAcentral is "partial internal transcribed spacer region". The stretch from base 1 to 46 matches the Rfam family "Eukaryotic small subunit ribosomal RNA", at positions 1786 to 1831 of the family's 1831-position model. Lineage: Eukaryota; Fungi. The record is from RNAcentral.
AAGUCGUAACAAGGUUUCCGUAGGUGAACCUGCGGAAGGAUCAUUAUACGUUUAUCCAACGUACCAACCAACGCGCUCUCGUUUAAACCGAGUCUGUGGGCGAGCCUUUCUUAGGGCAUCCAAAAUAUGGUGGGAUCGCUUUUGUUUUUUUUUUGGCUUCUUUUAGUCGAAAAAAAACAACCCGAUCUGUUUGGGUGUCCGAUCAUGAACUCGCACACGGCAACCAUUUUAUAUUUUUAUUUUUAAAAAACGCAUUGUAAUCACUUGUACUAAUUACGAAAAACAUCUGCGCAAGCGGAUGGAAUUAAGACAUUAAUUGCUGAACAACUCUUAGCAACGGAUAUCUUGGUUCUC